ACGUUUAUGCGAUGCGUUACGGCGAGGUACCCACGGCACGGACGUUAUAAAGGGCCGGACAGGCGAAAUUUCGUCCCGGCGCCGCCGGUGAGCCGGUGGAGCGGGGUAGGGGAGGUUCAUUAUUAUUAUUGUUGUUAUUUCCGUAUUCUGACUCCAUCGCCGGCGAAACACUAGAUCCGGGGGCUCGGGUCCUUUCGAACGGUUUAAACGUUGACAUCGCCGUGUUUAGCAUAGAUACCGCU
Molecule: non-coding RNA, 242 nt
Organism: Cinara cedri
Lineage: Eukaryota; Metazoa; Arthropoda; Insecta; Hemiptera; Aphididae
Source: the annotation of a GenBank genome assembly